This 72-nucleotide transfer RNA is filed under the name Bos taurus (domestic cattle). It matches the Rfam family "tRNA". From Rfam's summary of the family: Transfer RNA (tRNA) molecules are approximately 80 nucleotides in length. Their secondary structure includes four short double-helical elements and three loops (D, anti-codon, and T loops). RNAcentral also lists the same sequence under 5 other names. The record is from Rfam by way of RNAcentral. Lineage: Eukaryota; Metazoa; Chordata; Mammalia; Artiodactyla; Bovidae.
UCCCUGGUGGCUCAGAUGGUAAAGAAUCUGCUUGCAAUGCAGGAGACCCAGGUUUGAUCCCUGGUCAGGAAG